This 305-nucleotide ribosomal RNA is filed under the name uncultured bacterium. RNAcentral's name for it is "bacterial SSU rRNA". It matches the Rfam family "Bacterial small subunit ribosomal RNA", at positions 338 to 641 of the family's 1533-position model. The record is from RNAcentral.
CCUACGGGGGGCAGCAGUGAGGAAUAUUGGUCAAUGGUCGGGAGACUGAACCAGCCAAGCCGCGUGAGGGAGGAAGGUACAGAGUAUCGUAAACCUCUUUUGUCAGGGAACAAAGGCGGGGACGUGUCCCCGGAUGAGUGUACCUGAAGAAAAAGCAUCGGCUAACUCCGUGCCAGCAGCCGCGGUAAUACGGAGGAUGCGAGCGUUAUCCGGAUUUAUUGGGUUUAAAGGGUGCGUAGGCGGACGCUUAAGUCAGCGGUAAAAUUGCGGGGCUCAACCUCGUCGAGCCGUUGAAACUGGGUGCC